This 496-nucleotide ribosomal RNA is filed under the name uncultured bacterium. RNAcentral's name for it is "partial 16S ribosomal RNA". It matches the Rfam family "Bacterial small subunit ribosomal RNA", at positions 29 to 507 of the family's 1533-position model. The record is from RNAcentral.
AUGAACGCUGGCGGCGUGCCUAAUACAUGCAAGUCGAGCGAACAGACGAGGAGCUUGCUCCUCUGACGUUAGCGGCGGACGGGUGAGUAACACGUGGAUAACCUACCUAUAAGACUGGGAUAACUUCGGGAAACCGGAGCUAAUACCGGAUAAUAUAUUGAACCGCCUGGUUCAAUAGUGAAAGACGGUUUUGCUGUCACUUAUAGAUGGAUCCGCGCCGCAUUAGCUAGUUGGUAAGGUAACGGCUUACCAAGGCGACGAUGCGUAGCCGACCUGAGAGGGUGAUCGGCCACACUGGAACUGAGACACGGUCCAGACUCCUACGGGAGGCAGCAGUAGGGAAUCUUCCGCAAUGGGCGAAAGCUUGACGGAGCAACGCCGCGUGAGUGAUGAAGGUCUUCGGAUCGUAAAACUCUGUUAUUAGGGAAGAACAAAUGUGUAAGUAACUAUGCACGUCUUGACGGUACCUAAUCAGAAAGCCACGGCUAACUACGUG